This 271-nucleotide ribosomal RNA is filed under the name uncultured prokaryote. Its description in RNAcentral is "partial 16S ribosomal RNA". It matches the Rfam family "Bacterial small subunit ribosomal RNA", at positions 524 to 794 of the family's 1533-position model. The record is from RNAcentral.
CACGUAGGAGGCAAACGUUAUCCGGAUUUACUGGGCGUAAAGCGCGUGUAGGUGGUUCUGUAAGUAGGGCGUGAAAGCUCCCGGCUCAACUGGGAGAGGCCGUUCUAAACUGCAGAGCUAGAGGAUGGUAGAGGGAGGUGGAAUUCCAGGUGUAGCGGUGGAAUGCGCAGAUAUCUGGAGGAACACCAGUGGCGAAGGCGGAUUUCUGGACGAUAACUGACGCUGAGGCGCGAAAGCGUGGGUAGCGAACAGGAUUAGAUACCCGCGUAGU